UGGGGAAUAUUGCACAAUGGGCGAAAGCCUGAUGCAGCAACGCCGCGUGCGGGAUGACGGCCUUCGGGUUGUAAACCGCUUUCAGCAGGGACGAAGGUUUUCUGACGGUACCUGCAGAAGAAGCACCGGCUAACUACGUGCCAGCAGCCGCGGUGAUACGUAGGGUGCGAGCGUUGUCCGGAAUUAUUGGGCGUAAAGAGCUUGUAGGCGGUCCGUUGCGUCGGAAGUGAAAACUCAGGGCUUAACCCUGAGCCUGCUUUCGAUACGGGCGGACUUGAGGGAUGUAGGGGAGAACGGAAUUCCUGGUGGAGCGGUGGAAUGCGCAGAUAUCAGGAGGAACACCAGUGGCGAAGGCGGUUCUCUGGACAUUUCCUGACGC
Molecule: ribosomal RNA, 379 nt
Filed under: uncultured bacterium
Lineage: Bacteria
Description: partial 16S ribosomal RNA
Rfam family: Bacterial small subunit ribosomal RNA
Source: RNAcentral